GAUGAACGCUGGCGGCGUGCCUAAUACAUGCAAGUCGAGCGAACAGACGAGGAGCUUGCUCCUCUAACGUUAGCGGCGGACGGGUGAGUAACACGUGGAUAACCUACCUAUAAGACUGGGAUAACUUCGGGAAACCGGAGCUAAUACCGGAUAAUAUAUUGAACCGCAUGGUUCAAUAGUGAAAGACGGUUUUGCUGUCACUUAUAGAUGAAUCCGCGCCGCAUUAGCUAGUUGGUAAGGUAACAGCUUACCAAGGCAACGAUGCGUAGCCGACCUGAGAGGGUGAUCGGCCACACUGGAACUGAGACACGGUCCAGACUCCUACGGGAGGCAGCAGUAGGGAAUCUUCCGCAAUGGGCGAAAGCCUGACGGAGCAACGCCGCGUGAGUGAUGAAGGUCUUCGGAUCGUAAAACUCUGUUAUUAGGGAAGAACAAAUGUGUAAGUAACUAUGCACGUCUUGACGGUACCUAAUCAGAAAGCCACGGCUAACUACGUG
Molecule: ribosomal RNA, 497 nt
Filed under: uncultured bacterium
Lineage: Bacteria
Description: partial 16S ribosomal RNA
Rfam family: Bacterial small subunit ribosomal RNA
Source: RNAcentral